Acanthosepion pharaonis is the source of this 112-nucleotide non-coding RNA. NCBI's taxonomy places the organism in Eukaryota, Metazoa, Mollusca, Cephalopoda, Sepiida, Sepiidae. The record is from the annotation of a GenBank genome assembly.
ACAGCCACAUCACAUUGAAACACCGGUUCAUGUACAAUCACUGAAGUUAAGCAAUGUCAAGACUGGUCAGUACCUUGAUCGGUGACCACUUGGGAAUACCAGGUGCUGUAAG